AUUCCAUAAUGAGGGUAUUUUCAUAAUAGUUCUUUAAAUCUUUCCCACGCUUCAUACAAGGACUCAUCAUCCAUUUUUUGGAAGGUAGUGAUCUCAUUCUGCAACU
RNAcentral lists this small nucleolar RNA (106 nucleotides) under Gossypium hirsutum (cotton). RNAcentral's name for it is "Plant small nucleolar RNA R71". It matches the Rfam family "Plant small nucleolar RNA R71". From Rfam's summary of the family: R71 is a member of the C/D box family of snoRNAs containing the C (UGAUGA) and D (CUGA) box motifs. Multiple nearly identical copies of this snoRNA have been identified in Arabidopsis, and it is thought to function as a 2'-O-ribose methylation guide for 18S ribosomal RNA. Lineage: Eukaryota; Viridiplantae; Streptophyta; Magnoliopsida; Malvales; Malvaceae. The record is from Rfam by way of RNAcentral.